Molecule: long non-coding RNA, 553 nt
Organism: Rattus norvegicus (Norway rat)
Lineage: Eukaryota; Metazoa; Chordata; Mammalia; Rodentia; Muridae
Source: RefSeq, a predicted model, not a curated record
GCUGUCUGAGAAGACAGAAAACACAUUAUUUACAUAAGAUACAGUUCUGGGUUUGACUUGCCUUUGCUUGUCCAGUAAUGUUUCACGAGCAAGUGGAUUACCAUACACAUUUUCUCUCUCCAAAGACAAGUGACCUGAUAUUGGGCUAACCUCUCGGGUCCCAUGUCAGGAGAAUGAGACAAGAUUCAAAGUCAUGAGAGAACUCACUGCAUUUGCUUCCUGAGCUUCUGCUACCCCAGUCUAAGAUGAAGUUUUCACACUAAAUUAAACCUGACUGUGAAAACUGACAACCCCUGAUACACAAAAAUGUGCCAGGGAUACAAGUUCUACUUAUUGACCCUUCCGAGGAAAAUGUCCAAAGUCCAGAGAUGAUAUUCCAUUUAUUUAGCUACACAUCUCGAAAGAUAUAUCCAAGCCCUAUCAAGAAGAAUUGAAGUCAACUGUAACUAUUUACUACAGAAAUAUAUUAUUCCAACAUAGUUCAGUUGUAAUUUCACAUGUCACACACCAGUAGAUUAUAAUAAAUCCAUGCUACAAGCCAGUGUUUAAUGCA